AGCAGAGUGGUUUAGUGGAAAGAGCAUGGGCUUGGGAGUCAGAGGUCGUGGGUUCUAAUCCCAACUCUGCCA
Non-coding RNA from Ornithorhynchus anatinus (platypus), 72 nucleotides. The record is from Rfam. NCBI's taxonomy places the organism in Eukaryota, Metazoa, Chordata, Mammalia, Monotremata, Ornithorhynchidae.